UGUCUGUUCUAUUUGACUUACUUCAUCUUUCUCCAAUGGUAUUGUCUGUUCUAUUUGACUUAAUUUUAUUAUAUCCAAUGGUAUUGUCUGUUCUUUUGGACAUACUUUUGCUAUCUCCAAUGGUAUUGUCUGUUCUAUUUAAAUAAAUUUUAUCAUCUCCAAUGGUAUUGUUUGUUCUAUUGGACUUAAUUUUGUUAUUUCCAAUGGUAUUUUCUGUUCUAUUGGACUUACUUUUGUUAUCUUCAAUGGUAUUGUCUGUUCCAUUGGACUUAUUUUUAUUAUUUCCAAAAGUAUUGUCUGUUCUAUUGGACUUCGAAUCCCCACCUCCAUGGUAUCUUCUCUAUCAUGUUUUAAUUUCACUCCUUAUUUGAAUUAAACUAUUAAAGAUACCGAAGACAUCAAAACACACAUAUGCAGAAUUGCGC
RNAcentral lists this long non-coding RNA (425 nucleotides) under Mytilus galloprovincialis (Mediterranean mussel). The record is from RNAcentral. Lineage: Eukaryota; Metazoa; Mollusca; Bivalvia; Mytilida; Mytilidae.